Molecule: ribosomal RNA, 254 nt
Filed under: uncultured bacterium
Lineage: Bacteria
Description: partial 16S ribosomal RNA
Rfam family: Bacterial small subunit ribosomal RNA
Source: RNAcentral
UACGGGGGGGGCAAGCGUUGUUCGGAAUUACUGGGCGUAAAGGGCUCGUAGGCGGCCAACUAAGUCAGACGUGAAAUCCCCCGGCUUAACCUGGGAACUGCGUCUGAUACUGGAGGGCUUGAGUGCGGGAGAGGGAUGUGGAAUUCCAGGUGUAGCGGUGAAAUGCGUAGAUAUCUGGAGGAACACCGGUGGCGAAGGCGGCGAUCCUGGACCGACACUGACGCUGAGGCGCGAAAGCUAGGGUAGCAAACGGG